This 516-nucleotide ribosomal RNA is filed under the name uncultured bacterium. RNAcentral describes it as "bacterial SSU rRNA". It matches the Rfam family "Bacterial small subunit ribosomal RNA", at positions 15 to 518 of the family's 1533-position model. The record is from RNAcentral.
GAUCCUGGCUCAGGAUGAACGCUAGCGAUAGGCCUAACACAUGCAAGUCGAGGGGCAGCACAUGAAGUAGCAAUACAGAUGGUGGCGACCGGCGCACGGGUGAGUAACACGUAUGCAACCUACCUUCCACAGGAGAAUAACUCGUUGAAAAACGGACUAAUACUCCAUAAUACAGGGGUCCCGCAUGGGAAUAUUUGUUAAAGAUUUUUUCGGUAGAAGAUGGGCAUGCGUUCCAUUAGCUAGUUGGUUGAGGUAACGGCUCACCAAGGCAACGAUGGAUAGGGGAACUGAGAGGUUUAUCCCCCACACUGGUACUGAGACACGGACCAGACUCCUACGGGAGGCAGCAGUGAGGAAUAUUGGUCAAUGGAGGCAACUCUGAACCAGCCACGUCGCGUGAAGGAUGACGGCCCUACGGGUUGUAGACUUCUUUUAUACAGGAAUAAAGUGAGUCACGUGUGACUUUUUGCAUGUACUGUAUGAAUAAGGAUCGGCUAACUCCGUGCCAGCCGCCGC